Molecule: ribosomal RNA, 1299 nt
Filed under: Triticum aestivum (bread wheat)
Lineage: Eukaryota; Viridiplantae; Streptophyta; Magnoliopsida; Poales; Poaceae
Description: partial small subunit ribosomal RNA
Source: RNAcentral
AUGGUUGUAGGAGAGGUCCACGAUGGAGGCAUGCGGCAGCGCGAAGAUGCCCGGCGGCACGUCGCCCUCCAGGUGGUUGCUGCUGACGCGGAACCGGAGGAGCGGCAGGCAGUCGGCGUAGGCCGCCGGGAUGGUGCCGGUGAGCAGGUUGCUGAGGACAAGGAUGUACUGGAGCUUACCGUUGGCGCAGGCGUGCGGCGGCAGCGGGCCCGUCAGCUGGUUCUCGGAGACCUCCAGCACGUUGAAGUCGGAGUAGCGGCCGAGGUCGGCGGGGAGCUCGCCGGUGAGCUGGUUCUUGUACACGGACAGGAUCUCGAGCUGCGUGGAGUUGCCCAGCACGGCCGGGAUGGGCCCGGUGAGGAAGUUUGUGUAGAGCUGCAGCACGCGGAGGCGCGGCAGCGCGCAGAGCGAGUCCGGGAUGGCGCCGCCGAGGCGGUUCUCGGAGAAGUCGACGUCGGCGAGACGCGUGAGGUUGCCGAGCUCGUCGGGGAUGGCGCCCUCCAGGUCGUUGUAGUAGAGCUCGAGGAACUCGAGGUUGGCGAGGCGGCCGAGCGACGCCGGGAUGCGGCCGGUGAGGGAGUUGCCGCUGAGCUCGAGGUCGGUGAGCGACGUCAUGUUGCCGAGCCACGCCGGCACGCCGCCGCGCAUGGACGUGGUGGACACGAUGAGCACGCGGAGGCGCCGCAGCCGCGUGAGCGCCUCCGGCGGGCGCCAGACGUCGAACCCGGGGUUCUCGUUGAAGUUGAUCACCUCCAGCGAGGCCAUGCCGGCGAGGGACGCGGCCGGGAACGCGCCGGAGAAGAGGUUGUCGGAGAGGUCGAGCACCCGCAGCGCCCGCAUCGGGGACAGGUCCGGCAGCGCGCCCGACACGGCGGCGAAGCUGAGGUUGAGCGUCUCGAGGGACGAGCAGUUGAGGAGGCCCGGCGGGAAGCCGCCGCGGAUCUCGUUGUAGGCGAGCAGGAGGUCCCGGAGCGCCGGCAGCGCCGCGCAGAUGCCGGGCGGGAGCCUGCCGGUGAGCCGCCACGAGGUGAGGUCGAUGCCCGUGACGUUGCCAUCUGUCCCAUCACAAACCACGCCCUGGAACCGGCAGUAGUCGACCGGCGUGGCCGACGAGAAGUCCCAGCGCGCCAUGGCCGGGCCGGCGAGCUCCUGCUUGAGCCGGGACAGGUACGCGGCCUGGGCGUCCAAUGCCGCCGCGCCAUCGCCGGCCGCCGACAGGAGAGCGACGAGGACGAGCAGCAAGGCCGUCGAGCACAGCGUGGCCACCAUGGCGCCUGUAUCCAGCACGUACGCACCUAG